This 450-nucleotide ribosomal RNA is filed under the name uncultured bacterium. RNAcentral describes it as "partial 16S ribosomal RNA". It matches the Rfam family "Bacterial small subunit ribosomal RNA", at positions 354 to 796 of the family's 1533-position model. The record is from RNAcentral.
GUGGGGAAUCUUCCGCAAUGGACGAAAGUCUGACGGAGCAACGCCGCGUGAGUGAUGAAGGUCUUCGGAUUGUAAAGCUCUGUUAAUCGGGACGAAAGAGCCUAGUGUGAAUAAUGCUAGGAAGUGACGGUACCGGAAUAGAAAGCCACGGCUAACUACGUGCCAGCAGCCGCGGUAAUACGUAGGUGGCAAGCGUUGUCCGGAAUUAUUGGGCGUAUAGCGCGCGCAGGCGGAUCUGCCAGUCUGUCUUAAAAGUUCGGGGCUUAACACCGUGAUGGGAUGGAAACGACCGAUCUAGAGUAGCGGAGAGGAGAGUGGAAUUCCUAGUGUAGCGGUUAAAUGCGUAGAUAUUAGGAAGAACACCAGUGGCGAAGGCGACUUUCUGGACGAAAACUGACGCUGAGGCGCGAAAGCCAGGGGAGAGAACGGGAUUAGAUACCCGAGUAGUCC